This 302-nucleotide ribosomal RNA is filed under the name Candidatus Phytoplasma australiense. RNAcentral's name for it is "bacterial SSU rRNA". It matches the Rfam family "Bacterial small subunit ribosomal RNA", at positions 1191 to 1492 of the family's 1533-position model. Lineage: Bacteria; Bacillati; Mycoplasmatota; Mollicutes; Acholeplasmatales; Acholeplasmataceae. RNAcentral also lists the same sequence under 2 other names. The record is from RNAcentral.
CAUCAUGGCCCUUAUGGAUUGGGCUACACACGUGCUACAAUGGUGAUUACAAUGGGCUGCAAAGUCGCAAGGCAGAGCGUAAACCUCAAAAAUCAUCUCAGUUCGGAUUGUUCUCUGCAACUCGAGAGCAUGAAGUUGGAAUCGCUAGUAAUCGUGGAUCAGCACGCCACGGUGAAUACGUUCUCGGGUCUUGUACACACUGCCCGUCACGCCAUGGAAAUUGGUUUCACUCGAAGCUAACAACCUAACCGCAAGGAGGGAGUUAUUUAAAGUGGGAUUGGUAACUGGGGUGAAGUCGUAAC